GACGAACGCUGGCGGCGUGCUUAACGCAUGCAAGUCGAACGGAAAGGCUCCAGCUUGCUGGAGUACUCGAGUGGCGAACGGGUGAGUAACACGUGGGUAAUCUGCCCUGCACUCUGGGAUAAGCCUGGGAAACUGGGUCUAAUACUGGAUAUGACCUUUCUCCUUAUGGGGUUUGGUGGAAAGUUUUUCGGUGUAGGAUGAGCCCGCGGCCUAUCAGCUUGUUGGUGGGGUGAUGGCCUACCAAGGCGACGACGGGUAGCCGGCCUGAGAGGGUGAUCGGCCACAUUGGGACUGAGAUACGGCCCAGACUCCUACGGGAGGCAGCAGUGGGGAAUAUUGCACAAUGGGCGGAAGCCUGAUGCAGCGACGCCGCGUGAGGGAUGACGGCCUUCGGGUUGUAAACCUCUUUCAGCAGGGACGAAGCGUAGGUGACGGUACCUGCAGAAGAAGCACCGGCUAACUACGUG
Molecule: ribosomal RNA, 467 nt
Filed under: uncultured bacterium
Lineage: Bacteria
Description: partial 16S ribosomal RNA
Rfam family: Bacterial small subunit ribosomal RNA
Source: RNAcentral